Molecule: ribosomal RNA, 511 nt
Filed under: uncultured bacterium
Lineage: Bacteria
Description: partial 16S ribosomal RNA
Source: RNAcentral
GGAGUUAGCCGGUGCUUCUUCUGCGAGUAACGUCACAGAUGUAAGGUAUUAACUUACACCCUUUCCUCCUCGCUGAAAGUGCUUUACAACCCGAAGGCCUUCUUCACACACGCGGCAUGGCUGCAUCAGGGUUUCCCCCAUUGUGCAAUAUUCCCCACUGCUGCCUCCCGUAGGAGUCUGGGCCGUGUCUCAGUCCCAGUGUGGCUGAUCAUCCUCUCAGACCAGCUAGGGAUCGUCGCCUAGGUGAGCCUUUACCUCACCUACUAGCUAAUCCCACCUGGGCUUAUCCAUCAGCGCAAGGCCCGAAGGUCCCCUGCUUUCCCCCGUAGGGCGUAUGCGGUAUUAGCAGUCGUUUCCAACUGUUAUCCCCCACAAAUGGGCAAAUUCCCAGGCAUUACUCACCCGUCCGCCGCUAGUCAUCUUCAAAAGCAAGCUUUUGAAAUGUUACCGCUCGACUUGCAUGUGUUAGGCCUGCCGCCAGCGUUCAAUCUGAGCCAUAAUCAAACUCUGA